This 1358-nucleotide ribosomal RNA is filed under the name uncultured bacterium. RNAcentral's name for it is "bacterial SSU rRNA". It matches the Rfam family "Bacterial small subunit ribosomal RNA", at positions 28 to 1381 of the family's 1533-position model. The record is from RNAcentral.
GAUGAACGCUAGCUACAGGCUUAACACAUGCAAGUCGAGGGGCAGCAUGGUCUUAGCUUGCUAAGGCCGAUGGCGACCGGCGCACGGGUGAGUAACACGUAUCCAACCUGCCGUCUACUCUUGGACAGCCUUCUGAAAGGAAGAUUAAUACAAGAUGGCAUCAUGAGUCCACAUGUUCACAUGAUUAAAGGUAUUCCGGUAGACGAUGGGGAUGCGUUCCAUUAGAUAGUAGGCGGGGUAACGGCCCACCUAGUCUUCGAUGGAUAGGGGUUCUGAGAGGAAGGUCCCCCACAUUGGAACUGAGACACGGUCCAAACUCCUACGGGAGGCAGCAGUGAGGAAUAUUGGUCAAUGGGCGAGAGCCUGAACCAGCCAAGUAGCGUGAAGGAUGACUGCCCUAUGGGUUGUAAACUUCUUUUAUAAAGGAAUAAAGUCGGGUAUGGAUACCCGUUUGCAUGUACUUUAUGAAUAAGGAUCGGCUAACUCCGUGCCAGCAGCCGCGGUAAUACGGAGGAUCCGAGCGUUAUCCGGAUUUAUUGGGUUUAAAGGGAGCGUAGAUGGAUGUUUAAGUCAGUUGUGAAAGUUUGCGGCUCGACCGUAAAAUUGCAGUUGAUACUGGAUAUCUUGAGUGCAGUUGAGGCAGGCGGAAUUCGUGGUGUAGCGGUGAAAUGCUUAGAUAUCACGAAGAACUCCGAUUGCGAAGGCAGCCUGCUAAGCUGCAACUGACAUUGAGGCUCGAAAGUGUGGGUAUCAAACAGGAUUAGAUACCCUGGUAGUCCACACGGUAAACGAUGAAUACUCGCUGUUUGCGAUAUACAGCAAGCGGCCAAGCGAAAGCGUUAAGUAUUCCACCUGGGGAGUACGCCGGCAACGGUGAAACUCAAAGGAAUUGACGGGGGCCCGCACAAGCGGAGGAACAUGUGGUUUAAUUCGAUGAUACGCGAGGAACCUUACCCGGGCUUAAAUUGCAGAUGAAUUACGGUGAAAGCCGUAAGCCGCAAGGCAUCUGUGAAGGUGCUGCAUGGUUGUCGUCAGCUCGUGCCGUGAGGUGUCGGCUUAAGUGCCAUAACGAGCGCAACCCUUGUUGUCAGUUACUAACAGGUUCCGCUGAGGACUCUGACAAGACUGCCAUCGUAAGAUGUGAGGAAGGUGGGGAUGACGUCAAAUCAGCACGGCCCUUACGUCCGGGGCUACACACGUGUUACAAUGGGGGGUACAGAGGGCCGCUACCACGCGAGUGGAUGCCAAUCCCAAAAACCUCUCUCAGUUCGGACUGGAGUCUGCAACCCGACUCCACGAAGCUGGAUUCGCUAGUAAUCGCGCAUCAGCCACGGCGCGGUGAAUACGUUCCCGGGCCU